UACGUAGGGCGCAAGCGUUAUCCGGAAUUAUUGGGCGUAAAGAGCUCGUAGGCGGUUUGUCGCGUCUGCCGUGAAAGUCCGGGGCUCAACUCCGGAUCUGCGGUGGGUACGGGCAGACUAGAGUGAUGUAGGGGAGACUGGAAUUCCUGGUGUAGCGGUGAAAUGCGCAGAUAUCAGGAGGAACACCGAUGGCGAAGGCAGGUCUCUGGGCAUUAACUGACGCUGAGGCACGAAGGUCAGGGGAGCAAACGGG
This 253-nucleotide ribosomal RNA is filed under the name uncultured bacterium. Its description in RNAcentral is "partial 16S ribosomal RNA". It matches the Rfam family "Bacterial small subunit ribosomal RNA", at positions 524 to 776 of the family's 1533-position model. The record is from RNAcentral.